GGGCAUUGUAGCGCAUUUCUUCCUUAAAUUAGUGAACCAAAGUUCUCCAACAGUCUUUAGGUUUUUGUGCUCCCGGCAUCUUUGAUCAUUGUUGUAACAGUAAAAUAUCCAUAGUGUGAUCUUUGCCUGUAAAGGUGGUUGAUUAAAAUGAGCAAAGCUUUUGUCUGGGAAAGAACUGAAAAGAACACAGCACUGAAAAGAAUACAGCAAUUGAAGUGGAUUCCCAAGAACGCCUCUUUUUGCUGUAUUGGAAUCUUUGUAACAUCUCAGUGAUAGACAUCUCACUGACAUCAGGUGCUGUUGUGCUAAAAAUGUUAACAGGUAAAAUCUGUGGAAAAAUCUUUACAUUUGUUAUAGUUUGUAUAAUAAUGAUAGAUGAAAUAGUAACAUAGUUGAUCUUUCUAGUGUUUUGUAUUAAAGAUAAACACCCCUGUAUAUGAUUUAGAGAUACAGGGAUAAUUUGAAGCAGCAAAGUAUUUACCGCCUUUGUUCAUAAUGGUAUGUAAAAUUACAUUCUCUUUAAAUGUUAAAAAUACUCCUUUAUUCAAAAUGUCUCAAUAUAUUUAGAAUAGUUGAUAAUUGGAAAUAUGACGUUAAUUAUCUUUCUUUGUCCUGUUAGGGAGAAGACAACUUAUUCCCUAAGUUAUAAUUAGUAAAUAUAAUAACUACAGUUAUUAGUGGCUUAAAAUACCAGAAACACCCAAAAAUUGUCUUAGAAAACAUUUUUUUUUUUUUUUUUUAACCAAGAUCUGACAGCCAUUGUGGAAAGCUACAUUCGUGAGAUUGGAUGCUUAACAAUGUGAAUCUUAAUUGUUUAAGUGUAUUUUUCAGUGGCUGUUGGAUGUAGCUUAAGAUGAUUAGAAUUUGUAUUAUUAUUUCUAAAAGUGAGUUAAGAAAGCACUCAGAUACAAUAUUGAAUGUAUUUAUAUUUUAACUCUACCUUUGUAUAGGUGGUUUAUGUACCUUUAACCAUUACAAACCAAAUUACAUUUUCUUUGUAUUUGAAAAACUGAUAAAAUAUUUGAUUACGUGUAUUUUAUAUAUAUAUACAUAGAGUGGUAUGGAUGUUGAAUUUAUAUCUUUGACAUCUUUUCACCAGUUUGCAAUAGGUGACCUAAAUGAUCAAUUUCCAAAUUCAUCAUGUAUAUCACCUGGACGGGUUAAUCCAUAAUACUCUUUUACUUUCCAUUGACUGGCCUUGGCUCUGGCAGACUGAAUAUUUUUAUCAUUAUAAAUAAACUUUAUGAUAGUUGAAGUAAAGUUUCUGCCUGUUUUAACUGUUUUUAACUGUUGAAGUAUUUCACUUAUAUUAAUUAUACCACUCUGCAAACUUAAACGAAAAUCGAGUAGUUUCUGUUUUAAUAAGAACAUUUAUAUUUUCUUCUAAAGUUUAAACCUUAUUCAUUAUUGCAGUUGUUAUUGCAAUCAUAUGAUCUUUAACUAUCAUGAUUCAAUUAUUCAUCUUGGUAAUUAGCUGUUAUGCUCUUAUACGCAAGUUUAAUAUAUUUGUUUGUAGGCCACACUGCAGCUGCAUAUGGCAUUUUAGCAAUAAUCUUCAAUUGCGUUUCAGAUAUUCACAAAGUCCAUCCACCUUUGUAAUUAACACAUUAUGUGUUUAUCUUAUACCAUUAAUUAUAGUAUCUGUAUUAUAUUACACAUUGUCACUGACACAUUUUUGAUACAGGUAAAAAAAAUUGCAUGAUUGCUUUAGUAAUUAUAAUUUUCGGUCCAAGCACCACAUUCCUGGAAGUCCAGAAUAUAGCAAGAAUCCUUUGUCGUUUGAUUCUAUGGAGCCAUUUAACGUUUUCAUUGGUAUAGUUAUACCAAAAGAGCAAGGAGUACGACGGUAGAUCACAUCUGCAACAGAACCAUUACAGAUUCCUUGUUGUAUCAAUGUCUCUGUCUUUAUGUUUACAGGAGGUCCUUGCUUUGCAGGUAUGUACAUAAUAUGUAGAGUUUAAGAAAAGCUGCAAAUCGUGCUUUAGUACAAGUGUCCCAUGAUGUCAGGUUUCUGAAAGAUUUUGUUGGUCUUUUUAUAUUCCAUUCUCUUGGCAGGGCAUCUGCUCUUAGUAAGCCGGUAUUGUUAUUAUUUAUUAAUUGCAUCAAGGUUUCUUUAGUUAAUUGAUGUGUUUCUACCUAAUUCAAAUUCAUAUGCCACCAAAUGUCAUUUUAAAGUUCAUUGUUACAGAAUAUUGUUCCAGGAUGGUUUUUCACUCCAGUAGGAAAUCUAUAUUCCUCUUCUUCUGCUCCUUCCUAUAAACCACUUUUUCUGAGUUGUAGGCAACAAUCUGUGUCUUGUACUGUGAGGUGCUUUGAUUGUCAAUCAGGUUUUCUCAGUACCAUGUUCCAUCUUGAGAAACAGCUAGGUGUUGAGGGCUAUCAGUCUUUAUUUCUUUUUCCGGUCAUCUUCUGUCUGGAGACAUAAUAGCAAUGUCCAGAAUUAGCAUAGCACUUCUUUUCAGCAUAAAGAAGGCUGUUUGCGCUAGUCAUUCAAUGAUAAACUAUACGGCAAAGUCUUUUCUUAAUCACCUUCAUAGGUGCAUCCAAAGUCUUUCACAAGCAUCUAUCUCGUCUUUUUCUGUUUUCAGCAUGCUUUGCCAUCAUCGUUGAGUCCAUUAUUAGGAUUUGAAAUAGUUCAAUCACAUCUUUCUCACGUAUAAUCGGUUUUUGGAAUGAUCUCAAUAGGUUCCUUGUGAAAUACCAGUGUAGGUCACAUUAGCAAUCAUUUCACUGUGAGCUGUGUCUCUCCUUUUGAGAUGGUUCUUGGAGGUAGUCCUCACGAUCAAAGAACUUGUAUAGUGUGCAGUCCAAUUCAUUUCAGGUGCUUCCUGCUUGUUAACAUAAUCCCAAUGCAGUUUUAAAACGACAGCUAGGGUUGAUGUUAUGAUAAUGCUGCAGACUGUAAGAAGGAGACACCAUAACCAAUUUUCUAGCAUCAUUUUGCUUCCAUCUUUGCAUUUCUUUCUUACUGUAUAAGAUAAUUCAGGUUCAGUCUGUUUUCUCCAGAGUCUUUCUUAUAAUGAUGUUGAUGAUUCAUUUUCAUACAUUCCAUGUUAACUGUGAAUGUAUCACGUCUGUCUGUUCAUCCUUCUCCUUCACAUUUGCAGGUUCAGAUGUCAGAUCACGAUUCAGUCUGUCUAUGAUUCUGGUGGCUUUUCUGUCGUCCUCUGUUUGUUUUAUCUUGCCAUCUUUAACAGCAUCCAUUGUGUCAGUCAGUGGUUCUGUGAAUGUCCUGUUAAUAUUUAGCAGGUUGUAAAAUAUCAAAACUUACUGUUCUCUGUUGGGUCUGAUUGUUCUCUGUAGUAAAAGUUCUUGGUAUCACCCUCUCCAGGACAAACUGGCCAACAGAAGGAAAUAGGUGGUGGUGCAAGGCGAAGUGGACUGGAAAAAAAAUAAUUCCCUAAAUUUCUCUAAUAGAACCAAUGGUUCUAAGCUCUCCCUGGUGCAGAAAUAUAUUUGUCAGUGAAAAACAUGUAACAUUUCAUAUGGUGUCUCACCAUUUGUAUCAUCAGGUAUGUUGUGAAUGCUUAUCUGUACCAUAGGAAUAAAUAGAUACCACUGUGUGGGGCAAGCAGCUAGUAACUUGGUUAAUAAUCAUUUAACCUCAGCAUUUUCCCAGACCACAACCCCACUUCUUUGGGGGUGGUUGGGGCACUGAAAUCCCAAAGUAACCCAAAUGGGGUUGCCCAGUUUUAGGUUUCCUUUGCAGUAACUGCAGGACCACCAUCCAAAUGGAUGGUCCUGGGAUUAUCAAAUGCAUACUAAGGAAGUGAGACUAGAAAACAUGGCAUCAGAGGUUGCACUUCGCACAGGAUAUAUCCAAGUAAACCUGGUACAUGCAUCAACACAUACAAAAAACAUAUUUAUAACCAUGAGAUGUUGGCAAACUUUCAAUAUAUAGUAAUUCAAAAGUAUGUUGGAUAUUAAUAUUUCAAUAAACAAUACAUCAGUAAUGUGGCAAUAAGCAAAUGCUUAUGAUUACUAAACACAUGAAUUACAGUAUUUCCCAUAUUGUGACCACCAAUAUUCCUUUUCAGGAGUCAAAAGUACAUUAUCUCUCUCUAUAAGAGCUUGUCCUAGCCAUGAAAAAGCUUUUAGGGCAAGUCCAUCUUUCCUCUAUAGGAAGAACAACCAACAUAUUACCUUCAAUGGUUAUUAUGUAAUUAACCCCUCUAAACGAUAGGAGUAUUUAUGCGGAUACCAGGUGGAUAAGGUCUGCAUAUACUUGCAAGCAUAAACUCUGCAUCAUGACUGAGAGAUAGGGUAUGCUUUUGUGAUCCAAUGACCACAGAAAAGCGUUGGUAGACACAUUGCAUCAAAGUGCCUGUUAAUGACCAACUACAUGAGGAGAGGGACCAUGCUUUGUUAUAAGCAUGUCCAUACACGUAUUACAAUGCCAGGCUUUCAAUUUGUUUUCACAAAGCAAAAUGCAGUUGUGGAUAUAAACUCACAACGUAUCAUAAGAAAAACUGUUUGAACUCAAGACUGAGACUCGAGAUCAGUGAACAAUGGACCAAAAUAUAUAAAUGAAAUCCUAUCAAUUAAUAUACUUUCAAUAUAUUUUCUUUAAAUUACUUUAUUCUCUGUAUUAACUAUGAAAUAUUAAAGUUAAAACAAUAAUAUUUAAAAGCCAACUUUUAGUGUGGAUAGGAAUGACAAGGCCGUUCAUAAUGUGAGAUAAAGAACAGCUUUUUAAAACCGAAUAGUCUGUGAACACAAGAUGACCUUGCGCUGAAAACUCACUUGCAGGGGAAAAACAAAACAAAAAACUUUUUUUUUCUUUAGUAAGUUAAUUAAUUAAUUAAUUAAUUAAACAUAGCUAGAACCUCCCUCAAAGUCCCGAUGACUUUGCAAGAAACAUGUCGUCCUUAAAUACUGGGUAAGUCUAUUAAACAGUGACAUAGCAAUCUUACCCUGUGUAUUAUGUUGUCAGAGCUAUUCAUAACUAUUCAUAAGUGUUGUGCCAACUGUUCAUUAAAAGCCAGCGGUCUAACGAGCUAUAGAAUGUUUAUUUAUUUAUUCUUUAAAUCUCUGACCUCAAUCGGCAAAGCAAUAUUGUAAUGGUGUCCAUUGCAAUCUGCUGUCUUACUUGCUGNNNNNNNNNNNNNNNNNNNNNNNNNNNNNNNNNNNNNNNNNNNNNNNNNNNNNNNNNNNNNNNNNNNNNNNNNNNNNNNNNNNNNNNNNNNNNNNNNNNNUGAAGCUAUUAACGUGGGUCGUGGAUGAAGGAAUGUUUAUUUCUUUUUUUUCAAAUGGAGCAUAUGUUUUAACCUGCAAUGUCUGACUCCAUGUGAAAGUUCAAACUGCAGUUGACUGUAUGCCUGGUAAGGCAAACAUUACGUAGAGUCUGUUUAUGAGGCUGUUAAUGAAGGUGGAAGUAGUCCGACACAGUAUGGUAUAUUCAGUAGUAUAUCCAGCAGUUUAAUUUCAAAUAUCUUCCUGCAGCUUGCCUGUUAAUUAUCAGUAGCAGCAAGAACUUUAAAGAGCCAUUCUAAACACCAUAAGCACUUUGCAUAAUUGCAAAGAGAAUGAUGCUUAGUGCAUCCUGAAUCCUGUCUCAUGUCAUGUAAAAGUUGCUGCCGUUAUAAGACAGCCCACCAGACGUGUUAGUCAGGCAGCCCAGAGCCAGGGCUGGAUUAACAUAGAGGCUGAUGGGGCUGCACCUCCAGGCCCAUGCCCAUGCAAAAGGCCUAUUGUUUAAAAAAAAAAAAAAUGUUUUUUACUACUCUUCACAUGUUCUUGCUUAAGUAUGGAAACUUACGAGGGAUGUAGAGGAACAAAACUUGUGUGGGCUGGCUGACAAGAAAAAGAAGUUAAGAUAAAAAGGUAAAGCUGACCUUGUGCACUAUGCAAAUGCAUCAGUCUCUCUAACACUGUGGCAUGUUCCCUUUCUUCUACACUCACUACAUCCACUUUUUCUCUGUCGAAGACUGUGUAGCUUCUGUCUGCUAGUAAGAAGGUUAGGAGAGGAGUGAACAAGUGAGUGCUAGGGGGCAGUCCUUAAAAAAGCAUGGAGCAAGCACAUCAUUAGAUGCAUUUAUGCCAAGUUCAGGGUGCUGACUUUCUAAUUCGUUGUGCAGACACGCCCCCUUUCUGAGCAUGCUUACCCCUUUUGGCGUUUCUGGUUACUGACUCAGUCAGUGGCCCACCCUUUUACCCCACCCACCGACAUCCUGCUUCAUCCAACACUGCUGUUAGGGGAUACUGAUUUACUUGAAAGAUGAAAGCAAGAGAUUAGCAUAGGGCAAGCAUGUCAAACAGGCUGCAUGCGGCCCACAAUGGACAUCUUUGUGGCGAGCCGUGAGUACAUGCUUGGUGUUAUAGCAGAGUAGGCACCUGCGUUCCCCACAUUGCAGGUGCCUACUCUGCUAAAACUUACCCGGCCAGGGAGGCACACGCCAUCUGUAGUGAAGCCAGGCGUCGGAAUAUGACAUCAUAUUCCGGCACCCGGCAUCACUAAACUGCGCGAGGGAGCAGUGAGGAGCAGAUAGAAGAUCCACACUGGACUCCAGGGAGAGGCCCCACAUCAGCUCCCAAAGGUAGGGAGCAAUAAAGAAAAUUAUGUUUGUGUGUGUGUGUGUCUGUGAGUGUGUGUCUGUCUGUCAGUGUGUCUGUGAGUCUGUCUGUGUGUGUGUCAGUGAGUGUGUGUGUGUGUGUCUGUGUGUGUGUCUUUCAGUGAGUGUCUGUGUGUCUCAGUGAGUGUCUGUGUGUGUGUCUGUCAGGGAGUGUGUAUGUGUCUGUCUGUGAGUGUGCGUGUGUGUUUGUCAGUGAGUGAGUGUGUCUGUCAGUGAGUGUGUGUGUGGGUCAGUGUUGCAUGGAGACACGCAACCCCACAUCACUGGGAUUUUUUUGUAUACUGUACUUUUCAAAAUAAAGAUACGUUUCUAUGAAAAUUUAAGGUGUUUUUUUUUUGCGGCCCCCAUAAACUUAAACCUUGUUUAUGUGACCCAUGCUAGACUUUGAGUUUGACAUGCUUGGCAUAGGGUAUGUAUUUUCUUAUACCUAUAUCCUGUGAGUUUCCCUCCAGCACCACCUCCACCAGAUACAUGACGCUUGGGAGGUAUGACUGUUUUAGUGUUUCUGUUAAUAAGAUUCUGUAAUUAGGCCCAUUAUAAUUCUCAGCACCAGGCCAAUGGGUUUUUGAUCUGGUCUUGCCCAGAGCACAAAGUUUUGGGUUGGUAGAGUCAAUUUCAUUAUUAUUGUGGGUGCAGUUUGCAUAUACUUUAAGAAAAGCUUACUCUCCUCUGUGCAGGUCAGGCACAGCUCAUAGUAAAAUAAAGCCCAGUUUACUUGAAAGGUUACUCAAAGCACCAUGACUUCUUCAACCUAGAGGCUGCAUGUGCGUGUGCCAGGUGUGCACUGGUGCUCCCCUGGUAUUCAUACCAUUGUAUAAAGGUUAAAAUGAGGUCUGUAGAUCGCCUCUCCUCACCUCCACUAUUUCCAAUGUAGAGACAGAAGCUAUUGAGCAGGAGCUUUGAUUACCUCUCCUAAGUUAAAUCCUGCAUUGCAGGUCUACCUCCUUGGUUCAGAGCCUUACCGCAUCACUCCAAGCCAAGCCUCAGAGCUAAGUCCCGCACUUCUGGGCUUAGCUCAGACAUAGAGGUUCUGGCUCUCCUUAGGAAACAGAGGGUGUUAGUGGAGUUGGGGAGUUACUCCCAAAGGAUCCCAGAUAAGAAGUCAAACUUUCAGUACCUGGCUGUAGUAGUUAUAGUACUCGGAGUGUUCCUUUUAGAUGUGAGUUUUUUUUAUUUUCUUGCAUCUUUUUAACACAAUAUAUAUUUUUAAAUGCAAUGCAAAUGUUUCACUUCCAAAAUGUAGUAAAUAUAAAGGAUUCUCUGAUAUGACAUUCUAGACUCUAAAUUUAGAAAUAAACUGCCCUUUACUGUUUCUCUGCCAAAUGGGCUCUGAGAGUUAGAUGAAGCUUCCCUCUCAUACAAAUAAUACAAAAAGCCCACUGACAAUCCACAUACAUGCACACAACCCCACAAAAAGCCUCUCAUACAAUAUCACAGUUUUUGUGUUUCUUUCCACAGUAGUUCAAUGUUGGGGCAUUGCCACCAUAUAUUGCUCAUCGUACCUCUAGAUGUUUUGCAUCUCCAACACAACGGUGAGGAGAGCGGAUAUAUUUUAUUCAAUCUAUCAGGUGUGAGAUACCACCUGUAUAUCAAUUUCUUGUGUGCUUCUAUGUGGGAGCAUAGCAGGAUGUGAAGCUUUUCAGGGCCAAGAGUGAUUGCAACCAUUGUUCUUUAUUAAGGGGUAACUGGUGUUCUUUGUUCCAUUUAUAAAUGGAAAGUCUGGUUGGGGUGUGUUUUGACCCAAGGCUGCAUAACUAAGAGAUAAAGACUUAGCUUUGAUCGGGGCUUUAUGACAUCUAUCAUAUAUGUGGAGCAAGGCUUUUCCAUCUCCGGGUGCUUCUGUUGUGAGGUGUAACACCUUGUCUAAAAAUAUACUUUUUAACUGAAUAUACAGAAAUAUAAAGGGUGGUGAUAAAUUAUAUUUAGUCUGUAGCUUUGGGAAGGGUAAAAAGUCUCCUUGAGAGCAUAAAUCUAUAAGGCGGGUGACACCCAACUCUUUCCAGCCGUUCAGUGAUAGCCUCGGUGAUAUAGAUUGAAGUGCCGUUAAGGGUGCCCAUUUUAGAAACUUGUCUUUGUUAGCGUGUGGGCGGUGUAAAUGGUCCCACAUGUGUAUUGUUUAGGCAUGUACAUGGGAAAAAAUUUCGGUUCAGCAUUCCGAAAUUCGCCACUUCGGAAUUUUGGUAACUUCGACACUUCGGAACUUCUCUUGCAGCCGCUUGGUAGAUAACUCCCUAAUUCCCAUGGUAUUAGGGAGUUAUCUACCAAAAGGCUGAAAGACCUAAAUUGGUCUUUCAGACACAUUUACUAAUUAGUAUUUAGGGCCCUCACCCACUGCUCAGGGGUGGGAGUCAGGGGGGGAGAACAUUAGGUCCUCCCCCUCAUUCUAAUUUAGGGCCCCCACCCACCACUCAGGGGUGGGGGCCAGGGGGGAGGACAUUAGGUCCUCCCCCUCAUUCUAAUUUAGGGCCCUCCCCCACCGCUCAGGGGUGGGGGUCGGGGGGAGGACAUUAGGUCCCCCCCCUAAUUAGUAUUUAGGGCACCCAACCACUGCUCAGGGGUGGGAGCUGGAGGGGGGGACAUUAGGUUGCCCCCUAUUCUGAUUUAUGGCCCCCACCUCCCGCUCAGGGGUGGGGGCCAGGGGGGAGUUCAAUAGGCCCCCCAUUACUUUACUUUAGUGCACCCAUCCACCACUCAUGGGUCCCCCCCUUAUUUUAUGUUAGGGCCCCCACCGCCGUUCAGGGGUGGGACCGGGGGGGCAAUAGGUCCCCCCUUCAGGUUAGUAAUUCACACCAGACACAGGUUCCAGGUUGUUGAAUAACUUGAGGCAAGUUUAUUCAGAGGGGACGGCAGGUCCCUUUUAAAGCAAAAUUACAUCAUAAGCAUUGUCAGAGAUAACAUGGAAUAAUACAUCAAUAAUUGGUUAAGUGUUAAGUGUUUUAUUCAAAGCACAUCCUACUGGAUGUGCCUUCUUAUGUCAUUACUGUCGUCAUGAAGUUCUCCCCCGGAUUCCAGCGCCAUCUUGAAAAUUAGAGUGUUUGGUCGAUGGGUGGGGUACUCCUGAGUGACAUCUAGUGGUCAGUUUAGUAAUUUAUUGAAUAAUAUUGAGUAUAACUAAAUGGAGUAAAUAGACAUUUUACUAGCUAAAAAUGUCAAUAUUUCAUUUCCACAACAGCUCCCUAAUACCGUGGGAAUUAGGGAGUUAUCUACUUAUUCAUUCCUGCCAUUACAUUGACUGGCCAAGUAACUUACAUUUUAUAUGAAUGUAUGUUACUUGAUUGUUGUAAAUGUUGCAAAUGCUUACAGCUGAAUCCUGUCUAUAUUUGUAUACUUUUUAUUUAAAAUUGUAUACAUUGUAAAAUUCUUCUUUAUCCACUGGGUAAGUAUAUUAGUACUUAGGCAAAACUGUGCUUCGGCACUUCGACACUUCGGAAAUUCGGUAAUUCGGCACUUCGGACAUUCGGAAGUACCCGAAUGUCCGAAUUGCCCGAAAUUCGUCCGAAUACAUAUUCGGCCCAAAACGAAUUGCACAUGUCUACUAUUGUUAGUCUAGUGAGCGGCAAGAGUGUACAUGAUUUAUCACGUAGGUUUAUGGGUGUCCACAUAUAAUGUGUAGCGGAACAAUCUGGAUGGUACCCAUUCUCCAUGUCUACCCAUUGCAGCUUGCCUUUGGGGGCAUGAAGUUUAAUAGCAUUUUCUAUGAUUGCUGCUUUGUGGUAGUUUUAGGAUAUGCGGAAAGCCUAGGCCUCUUGAGUGCGUCGGGGCUUGUAGUAGAAAAAGAGGGACACAGGGUUUUUUAUUUCCCCAUACGAAUGUGGAGAGUAUUUUUUGCAUCUGUUUACCCAGCGCGGGUGCUAGUGGAAGUGGUAACAUCCUAAAUAUAUACAGCAGUUUCUGUAAAACUGUCAUUUUGAUGGCAUUAAUCUUGCCUAGCCAUGUAAGAAAAACCAUCUUUCCAUUUGGAAGUGUGGUGUUUGUACAUUUGUGGUAGCGGAGAUAGAUUGUGUUUUACUAUCCCCCUGGUGGUGGUUGCGAUCUUAACCCCAAGGUACAUGAAGUAUGUCUGUCUCCAAUCAAAAGUGAAUUGACCUUUAAGCAAUUGAACAGUGGUAUUUAGUAGUCUUAUGGGAAGUGCCUGUGUCUUCGUUUGAUUCAGUUUGUAUUAGGAUAUCCGACCAUAUUCUUGUAGAGUUCGCAUUAAGGGUGGCAGUGAGUGUGUGGGUUGCGCCAGUGAUAUGAAUACAUUGUCUGCAAACAUAGCUAGUUUAUACACAGAGUUUCUAAUUGGGACUCCUGAGAUAUCCGUCAUGUUUCAGAUUUUAUAUGCUAGGGGCUCGAGAGAGAGUACGAAUAACAGGGGUGACAAAGGGCAACUCUGUCUGGUACCAUUUGUUAUAGCAAAGGGAGUUGAUAGAAAACCUCAGUUUUGUGGGGAUAUUUAUGGGAUAAUAAUAGUAAACAGUGAGAAUUGCCCACUAAUUCAAUUCUCAGAUCCCAAAGAUCGUUAUCGUGUAAUUGAAAAGUAUUUCAUAUAAAUAAAAUCACAAUUUGUUAUAAAAAUAGAUUUAUUUUAUAAUAACAAAUUAAUUAAUAAUAAUAUGUAACAUGCGUGACAAUAAUCAAUGAAUAUCCAGUAUAAAAUGAUAUGCAAUACAAAAUGGCAAUACACGUUUCAAUGGCUAAACAGCAUUUUCUGUCAAGACUUACACGAUUUAUGAGGUAUCCUUACAGACACAGAAAGCAAAGCUUUUCACAGCGAAGGGCCAUAAAACCCUGGCUAACAGUUAGAUCAACUGAAUAACCCUUUCAAUGCUAGCUAGAUGCUCCUAGGCAUAUAGUAUCCUAUACUCCUGUGAUUUUCAAUUGAAAUAACAUUUGAACCAGCUCAUUAGUCAUUUCCUGGAACCAUCCAAUAAGAAUAAUCUACCAGAUUUUUACAAAAGCAGAAUUUUAAUUCGCCUAAAAAGAUAUCUUAUCUUAUAUUAGAGCAAAUCAAUACACCUGGAUAAAAACAACGGUAUGCUAACACGUGAUAAUAUCACAUUAAUAUAUAAUUAUUCUUAAUUCCACCUGCAGAAUAGAAUGUUUAUCACUAUAUAUUCUUUAGUUAACUAAGAUUUCUAAAUAUUGAAAUCUGACCGUGAUUUAUCCAGUCAUAUAUCAUGCUAUUAGUAAAUUUUAAAUUAAUUAAAUAAAACCAGCAUAAUUACCAGCUAUGUAGAUAUUUUCCUCAGAUGAGUAGGUAUUCCCAGAAACUUGAUUGGUUGUAUGGAGGUGCGUGAGUGAUAGGAAAAGUAUUAAAGAGUUUAAGAGUUUAUGUCCAAGAGAGUUUAAGGGUAGAGUGUUAGUCCCAGAUAUUGUCCUGGAUUUCUCUGCAUGUCCGAGUUGGAGUCCCCAAACUUCCAAUUCCUCCCUCCUCUCUCUUUUUCUUUUUUUUCUCUUCCCUCUGUCUUAACUUUUUAAAGGGAAAGUUCACUAGUUGAUAGACCAAUAGGAACACUGGAGGUGUGGUUACCUUCCAGAUAGCAAUUUAGUAUUUGGUCUAUAGAGGGCAGUCUUGUCCCACUAAACAUACCUAUCCAGGAAAGAGUUAACUUUUCUUGGUGGCUAUUUUGAUGUCAUUUUGCUUUAUCUUUAUAGUUGCUAUAAUUUACGUUUUCUUUCACUUCAAAGGGUUUUCUCUUAGUUUUGUUCAGACUUAGUGUCCGCAAUUCCUGCUAUAAUUUCUAAUAUGACAGUUCGUAAACUAAGUUUCACCUUAAACUACAAUGGGAGGUUAUACAAUAUAAAAAGUAAAAUUUAAUUAUUUAAUCUUCUCUGUCACAAAUGUCUGGGUUUAGAAUUGAUUGUAUUCCAUUAGCAUUUAGACAGUCUGUCCAACCCCCGUUCUCCUUAUCACUUGGUUUGUAUAUACUAUGCAUUCCUUUAGCUCUGGGAAAGUGGUUAGUUUUACAGAUAGAAAUCUUGUGUCUUUUGUUAGCUUGAAAAUAACAAAAUGGAGUCUGCUCUGUUCAAAAGUGACUCAGCAUAUACACUUUUAAUUUCUAUCAUAGCACAAGAUGUCUGCCGAUAUAAAUACCCUGACAUAACCCCCCUUUAGUGCAUUUCAUAGCCAAAAUUAAUUUAGCUUAUGAAUAAGCACUAUAGAAGUUACCAGACAUAUUGUGCAAUCACAUCAUUUCUAACAUAGGCCCGUGCGUGGAAUGAACAUUUUUGUAUAUAUUUGUACCUGUAAGAGUUUUGAACUUUACACUUAGUACAAUCAACCAUAAUAUAAUUAUUAUCAUAGCACACCCAAUAACAAUCUUAACAUGGAUGAACCAGUCAACACGAGCAAUAAGGUCAGUAUCUAGCUCAGAGUAUUUAAAUGUAUCCACAGAAAUGUUAUCUUUUCUGAUUGACAUUUGGAUAGUAUGGUUGGGCUUAUGGUCCAGCAAGAACUUUAGAUUAGGAUCUAGAGGGAUAUCUAGAUUCUGGAAGGGAUCCACCAUCUCAAUAGCACUUUCGAUGAUGUCAGUGUACACUGGGUAUAGCGUAACGUCACCGAUGGUGAUACGAGAGUCGUGGGAUACCUUGAUCAGUGAGACAGGUGCUGGUAAGGCAAUUACUUUAUUAGUCACCUGGUCCCUGCGAAAAACACUUAUGUUUUUAAGACACGUGCUUACCAACCAUUUAUCUUUUACUAAGAUAGCAUGUACUAACGCAUUACUGUCGGUUUUUGACAUAGUUACUUGACAUGUUUCAGAGCCAUGUUUAAGGUACUCGAUCCCACACAAAGCAUUGGUAGAAUCGUACACAAAAGGUUUUCCAUCACAUUGGAAAUUAUUGUCUUUGAAUUUUUCACAGUCAUUCAAAAUGGGUAUUGAAUACCACUCUGGUAUCCACGGUUGAAAAGCCAAAACAUCUGGGGUUUGGACUUUUACAUGGAUAUUUUCCUUCCAAGUACCGACAUUGUAGAUUGUUUUUGUAACCGUGUGUGGUUCCCUUAUUUACCACUAUAAUGUCUUAAAGCAUAGAACUUAGUAGGGCUAACCAUACAGAUAUCUUAGCCAUAAUUUUAUAUAGUGUAAGAGAUCCUCUAUUUAACAUAUAUAAAUAAUUGAGAAUACAAUAUAAAAUAAGGAUUGUCUUGGAAGAAAGAUUGUCUUUUUGGAUAUUUAUUAUAUAAAAAUAUAAAAUCCAUUAUAGCAGAGUUUAUAAAAUUAAAUUACAUGCUUGCAAAUAUCAUUAAUAGGUUAACAUACCCUUCUGAACAUGUCAUCAUGUCAGCCUCUCUGUCAUUUUAAGAUGGAGCAGCGUCUGUCUCCAAGUCUCUCCUCUGUGUCUUAACAUUUAAAAGUACACCUAUUUAUACCUUAGAUGUCUCCAUUUUAGGUUACUGUAGUUCAAAUAUAAAAAAGUAACACUUCUUUUACUUUAUUCAAUUUAGGACCUCCCUUAAUUUGGCAAACAUACAAGGCCAUAACUAAAGGGUGUAUACGUCAUGGAAAUUUUCCUGACUUAGUUCAAGAUGGCAUCUUGAAGUCUGAAUAGGUUAUCUGUUGUUUAUACUAAGUCGUAAGUGUACAGUAGUGGGAGAUUCCCAGAUUUAGGGAAGUUCCAUUAACUUGGGGUUACCACAGUAUAUUGUGUACUGCAAGAGUCGUAGCAUAGCCUUGAAACUUGUUUAUGCAUUAUUGUUAUUGUAAUUCGUCUGGGACAAAAUGGCGCAAACAUAUUAUGCACUGAGGUUAUUGCUUAAAGAAACAUCUAUGAAAAACAAUAUGUUCCAUUUCUAACACCUUGUCAAUUUGCAAUAUCUCUUAAAGACAAAGUACACAGUUUAAGAAAUACAACAUUUCAUUCUAAAACUUGUAAUAUUUGCAUUUGCCCAUAACACCCUCUCCAUUAAACUGUGGGCAUUGUAGCGCAUUUCUUCCUUAAAUUAGUAAACCAAAGUUCUCCAACUGUCUUUAGGUUUUUUAUGCUCCCAGCAUCUUAGAUCAUUGUUGUAACAGUAAAAUAUCCGUAGUGUGAUCUUUGCCUAUAAAGGUGGUUGAUUAAAAUGAGCAAAGCUUUUGUCUGGGAAAGAAUUGAAAAGAACACCAGGUUCCAGAGUAAGAUAUUCUUGGAUAGAUCCGGAUACGAAUUGUAAUCCAAAGUUAAAAAUAGUAAUUGUAUUUGUAAUCCAA
This 14740-nucleotide long non-coding RNA is filed under the name Pelobates cultripes (western spadefoot toad). Lineage: Eukaryota; Metazoa; Chordata; Amphibia; Anura; Pelobatidae. The record is from RNAcentral.